GUCUGUCACACCCUGUGUUUAACUCUCCUAGCUAAACUAACAUAGCUCAAAAAUUCUGAUGCUUGAUGUGAUUGUUGCUUGCUUGUGUGCUUGUGUCUUAAAUCACAAAACUCCCUAGACUCAUAUUCUUGUUAAAAACCUGGGUCCAAUGACCAUACCAUGUGUAUAGGACCAAAAACUAUUUCUACCAAAUAUUAUUUUGACCAAAAAUAAUUUAUUUAUUUUAAGCUUAAAAAAAC
RNAcentral lists this long non-coding RNA (239 nucleotides) under Hordeum vulgare. Its description in RNAcentral is "long non-coding RNA (HVUL_LNC012135)". The record is from RNAcentral. Lineage: Eukaryota; Viridiplantae; Streptophyta; Magnoliopsida; Poales; Poaceae.